RNAcentral lists this transfer RNA (72 nucleotides) under Araneus ventricosus. RNAcentral describes it as "tRNA-Trp". Lineage: Eukaryota; Metazoa; Arthropoda; Arachnida; Araneae; Araneidae. The record is from RNAcentral.
UGACCCGGACGUGAUUUGAACACGCAACCUUCUGAUAUGGAGUCAGACACGCUAUCGUUGCGCCACCGAGUC